RNAcentral lists this ribosomal RNA (501 nucleotides) under uncultured bacterium. RNAcentral's name for it is "partial 16S ribosomal RNA". It matches the Rfam family "Bacterial small subunit ribosomal RNA", at positions 30 to 523 of the family's 1533-position model. The record is from RNAcentral.
AUUGAACGCUGGCGGCAUGCCUUACACAUGCAAGUCGAACGGCAGCACGGGUGCUUGCACCUGGUGGCGAGUGGCGAACGGGUGAGUAAUACAUCGGAACGUACCUUAUCGUGGGGGAUAACGCAGCGAAAGUUGCGCUAAUACCGCAUACGCCCUGAGGGGGAAAGCGGGGGACCGUAAGGCCUCGCGCGAUUAGAGCGGCCGAUGUCUGAUUAGCUUGUUGGGGAGGUGAAAGCUCACCAAGGCGAUGAUCAGUAGGUGGUCUGAGAGGACGAUCAGCCACACUGGGACUGAGACACGGCCCAGACUCCUACGGGAGGCAGCAGUGGGGAAUUUUGGACAAUGGGGGCAACCCUGAUCCAGCAAUACCGCGUGAGUGAAGAAGGCCUUCGGGUUGUAAAGCUCUUUUGUCAGGGAAGAAACAGCAGCUCUAACACAGUCUGCGAAUGACGGUACCUGAAGAAUAAGCACCGGCUAACUACGUGCCAGCCGCCGCGGUAA